UACGAAGGGUGCAAGCGUUGUUCGGAUUUAUUGGGCGCAAAGCGCGCGCAGGCGGAUAUGCAAGUCAGAUGUGAAAUCUCGGGGCUCAACUCCGAAACUGCGUCUGAAACUGCAUAUCUAGAAUCUUGGAGGGGGAGGUGGAAUUUCGCAUGUAGGGGUAAAAUCCGUAGAGAUGCGAAGGAACACCAGAGGCGAAGGCGGCCUCCUGGACAAGUAUUGACGCUGAGGCGCGAAAGCGUGGGGAGCAAACAGGAUUAGAUACCCUGGUAGUCCACGCCGUAAACGAUGUGCACUAGAUUUUGCGGGAUUGACCCCCGCAGAAUCGUAGCUAACGCGUUAAGUGCACCGCCUGGGGAGUACGGUCGCAAGACUAAAACUCAAAGGAAUUGGCGGGGGCCCGCACAAGCAGUGGAUCAUGUGGUUUAAUUCGAAGCAACACGCAAAACCUUACCUGGGUUUGAAAUCCUACGAACCUGUCUGAAAGGAUGGGGUGCCCCUCGGGGGAUGUAGAGACAGGCGCUGCUUGGCUGUCGUCAGCUCGUGUCGCGAGAUGUUGGGUUAAGUCUCGCAACGAGCGCAACCCCUAUCUUUAGUUGCCAGCAUUAAGUUGGGCACUCUAGAGAGACUGCCUGGGUUAACCAGGAGGAAGGUGGGGAUGACGCCAAG
Molecule: ribosomal RNA, 666 nt
Filed under: uncultured prokaryote
Description: bacterial SSU rRNA
Rfam family: Bacterial small subunit ribosomal RNA
Source: RNAcentral